GACGUAGGGCGCGAGCGUUGUCCGGAUUAUUGGGCGUAAAGAGCUCGUAGGCGGCUUGUCGCGUCGAAUGUGAAAACCCACGGCUCAACUGUGGGCUUGCAUUCGAUACGGGCAGGCUAGAGUUCGGUAGGGGAGACUGGAAUUCCUGGUGUAGCGGUGAAAUGCGCAGAUAUCAGGAGGAACACCCGGUGGCGAAGGCGG
RNAcentral lists this ribosomal RNA (201 nucleotides) under uncultured bacterium. RNAcentral describes it as "partial 16S ribosomal RNA". It matches the Rfam family "Bacterial small subunit ribosomal RNA", at positions 524 to 724 of the family's 1533-position model. The record is from RNAcentral.